RNAcentral lists this unclassified non-coding RNA (332 nucleotides) under soil metagenome. Its description in RNAcentral is "partial contains 5.8S ribosomal RNA, internal transcribed spacer 2, and large subunit ribosomal RNA". The stretch from base 1 to 120 matches the Rfam family "5.8S ribosomal RNA", at positions 35 to 154 of the family's 154-position model. The record is from RNAcentral.
GAUGAAGAACGUAGCGAAAUGCGAUAAGUAGUGUGAAUUGCAGAAUUCAGUGAAUCAUCGAAUCUUUGAACGCACAUUGCGCCCUUUGGUAUUCCUUAGGGCAUGCCUGUUCGAGCGUCAUUUAAACCUUCAAGCUAAGCUUGGUGUUGGGUGACUGUCCGCCUCACGGCGGACUCGCCUCAAAAUUAUUGGCGGCCGGUACAUUGGCCUCGAGCGCAGCAGAAACGCGAACUCGGGCCCGUCGUAUUGGCUCCCAGAAGCUAUCUUCACAAUUUUGACCUCGGAUCAGGUAGGGAUACCCGCUGAACUUAAGCAUAUCAAUAAGCGGAGGA